RNAcentral lists this ribosomal RNA (465 nucleotides) under Vreelandella stevensii. RNAcentral's name for it is "partial 16S ribosomal RNA". It matches the Rfam family "Bacterial small subunit ribosomal RNA", at positions 338 to 795 of the family's 1533-position model. Lineage: Bacteria; Pseudomonadati; Pseudomonadota; Gammaproteobacteria; Oceanospirillales; Halomonadaceae. The record is from RNAcentral.
CCUACGUGCGGCAGCAGUGGGGAAUAUUGGACAAUGGGCGAAAGCCUGAUCCAGCCAUGCCGCGUGUGUGAAGAAGGCCUUCGGGUUGUAAAGCACUUUCAGUGGGGAAGAAAGCCUUGGGGCUAAUACCCUCGAGGAAGGACAUCACCCACAGAAGAAGCACCGGCUAACUCCGUGCCAGCAGCCGCGGUAAUACGGAGGGUGCGAGCGUUAAUCGGAAUUACUGGGCGUAAAGCGCGCGUAGGCGGUCUGAUAAGCCGGUUGUGAAAGCCCCGGGCUCAACCUGGGAACGGCAUCCGGAACUGUCAGGAUAGAGUGCAGGAGAGGAAGGUAGAAUUCCCGGUGUAGCGGUGAAAUGCGUAGAGAUCGGGAGGAAUACCAGUGGCGAAGGCGGCCUUCUGGACUGACACUGACGCUGAGGUGCGAAAGCGUGGGUAGCAAACAGGAUUAGAUACCCCGGUAGUC